Molecule: ribosomal RNA, 775 nt
Filed under: uncultured Neocallimastigales
Lineage: Eukaryota; Fungi; Neocallimastigomycota; Neocallimastigomycetes; Neocallimastigales
Description: partial large subunit ribosomal RNA
Rfam family: Eukaryotic large subunit ribosomal RNA
Source: RNAcentral
CGUCUAUAUACGUAUAGCAUAUCAAUAAGCGGAGGAAAAGAAACUAACAAGGAUUCCCCUAGUAACGGCGAGUGAAGCGGGAAGAGCCCAAAUUCGAAAUCUUCAAGGGUUUCCCUUGACGAAUUGUAGUUUAAAGAAGUGUUUUCUGUUAGAGAGGUGGUAAAAGUUCUUUGGAAUAGGACAUCAUAGAGGGUGAGAAUCCCGUAUUUGAUCACUUUCUACUAACGUUGUGAUACACUUUCAAAGAGUCGGAUUGUUUGGGAAUGCAGUCCAAAAUGGGUGGUAAAUUUCAUCUAAAGCUAAAUAUUGGCGAGAGACCGAUAGCGAACAAGUACCGUGAGGGAAAGAUGAAAAGAACUUUGAAAAGAGAGUUAAACAGUACGUGAAAUUGUCAAAAGGGAAGCGUUUGACACCAGUGUUGUUUUUCCGAAAAUCAAUUACGAAUGUUUUAUUUUUGAGAAGUUAUGACUUCAUCGGCUUGCUCCUUUCUUUAUGAAACUUUCUUAAUGCACUUUUCGGUUAACAAGUCAACAUCAAUUUCUUUUGUUGUAAAAGGGUAUGAGGAAGGUGGCUUUCUUUUCGGAGAAAGUGUUUAUAGCCUUGUGCCUCUGCAAUCGGAGAGAUUGAGGUCUGCAGCGUAGAUCCUUCGGGGUUAGAUACGUUUGUGCUAAGUUAUAGCUUUUCAUAGACAACUUGUUGACUAUGUUUAGUCUUGUAGCUUACUCGCUAUGCCUAUUUUACCUACGCUUAGGAUGUUGAUAUGCAUGACUGAUAU